AUGGGGGAGGCGCAUGGCUUUCCAGGAAUGCUGGGAAGCCUCGACUGCAUGCGCUGGGAAUGGAAGAAUUGCCCAGAUCCAUGGAAGGGUCAAUUCACUCGAGGAGACUAUGGAGUCUCUAUGGUUAUGCUUCAGGCUGUUGCAUCGCAAUACACUUGGAUAUGGCUUUCGUUUUUUGGGGUUGCUGGAUCAAACAAUGACCUAAGCGUCUUGAAUCAGUCACCGCUGUUCACUGAGGUUUUGGAGGGACGAGCACCACCAGUUCAGUUCACAAUUAACCAACGACAGUACAACAUGGGGUACUACCUGGUAGACGGAAUAUAUCCAGAAUGGGCGGCAUUUGUGAAAAAUAUUCCUCUAGCCCAAAGUGAGAAGGACAUAUUAUAUAGUAAGAAGCAAGAAGGAGCUAGAAAGGAUGUGGAAAGAGCUUUUGCGAUUUUACAAGCUCAAUUUGCAAUUCUACGUUAUGCAGCCAAUUAUUGA
RNAcentral lists this ribosomal RNA (483 nucleotides) under Triticum aestivum (bread wheat). RNAcentral describes it as "partial small subunit ribosomal RNA". The record is from RNAcentral. Lineage: Eukaryota; Viridiplantae; Streptophyta; Magnoliopsida; Poales; Poaceae.